GUUGUAUGGUUAAGUGACUAAGCGUACACGGUGGAUGCCUUGGCAGUCAGAGGCGAUGAAAGACGUAGUAACUUGCGAUAAGCCCAGAUUAGGUAGUAACAACCAUUUGAGUCUGGGAUUUCUGAAUGGGGAAACCCACKURCAUAAGYAMGUAUCMUUAMCUGAAUACAUAGGKUAAKGAGGCGAACCGGGGGAACUGAAACAUCUAAGUACCCCGAGGAAAAGAAAUCAACCGAGAUUCCGAAAGUAGCGGCGAGCGAAAUUGGACUAGCCCUUAAGCUUUACACGCGUUAGACGAACGGUCUGGAAAGUCCGACGAUACAGGGUGAUAGUCCCGUAGUUGACGACGUGUGUUCAGUGAAAUCGAGUAGGGCGGGACACGUGAUAUCCUGUCUGAAUAUGGGGGGACCAUCCUCCAAGGCUAAAUACUACUGACUGACCGAUAGUGAACCAGUACCGUGAGGGAAAGGCGAAAAGAACCCCUGUGAGGGGAGUGAAAUAGAACCUGAAACCGUGUACGUACAAGCAGUAGGAGCACCUUCGUGGUGUGACUGCGUACCUUUUGUAUAAUGGGUCAGCGACUUAUAUUCAGUGGCAAGGUUAACCAUCUAGGGGAGCCGUAGGGAAACCGAGUCUUAACUGGGCGUUCAGUCUCUGGAUAUAGACCCGAAACCAGGUGAUCUAGCCAUGGGCAGGUUGAAGGUUGAGUAACAUCAACUGGAGGACCGAACCGACUAAUGUUGAAAAAUUAGCGGAUGACUUGUGGCUAGGGGUGAAAGGCCAAUCAAACCUGGAGAUAGCUGGUUCUCCCCGAAAGCUAUUUAGGUAGCGCCUCGGACGAAUACUACUGGGGGUAGAGCACUGUUAAGGCUAGGGGGUCAUCCCGACUUACCAACCCUUUGCAAACUCCGAAUACCAGUAAGUACUAUCCGGGAGACACACGGCGGGUGCUAACGUCCGUCGUGGAGAGGGAAACAACCCAGACCGCCAGCUAAGGUCCCAAAUUACUACUAAGUGGGAAACGAUGUGGGAAGGCUCAGACAGCCAGGAUGUUGGCUUAGAAGCAGCCAUCAUUUAAAGAAAGCGUAAUAGCUCACUGGUCGAGUCGGCCUGCGCGGAAGAUGUAACGGGGCUAAGUAGUAAACCGAAGCUGCGGCAAUGYRCUUUUGYRCAUUGGGUAGGGGAGCGUUCUGUAAGCGGUUGAAGGUGUGUGGUAACGCAUGCUGGACGUAUCAGAAGUGCGAAUGCUGACAUGAGUAACGAUAAAGGGGGUGAAAAACCUCCUCGCCGGAAGACCAAGGGUUCCUGUCCAACGUUAAUCGGGGCAGGGUAAGUCGACCCCUAAGGCGAGGCCGAAAGGCGUAGUCGAUGGGAAACGGGUUAAUAUUCCCGUACUUCUUACAAUUGCGAUGGGGGGACGGAGAAGGCUAGGUGGGCCUGGCGACGGUUGUCCAGGUUCAAGUGCGUAGGCUUAAGAGUUAGGUAAAUCCGGCUCUUUUUAAGGCUGAGACACGACGUCGAGCACCUACGGGUGUGAAGUCAUUGAUGCCAUGCUUCCAGGAAAAGCCUCUAAGCUUCAGAUUGUAAGGAAUCGUACCCCAAACCGACACAGGUGGUCGGGUAGAGAAUACCAAGGCGCUUGAGAGAACUCGGGUGAAGGAACUAGGCAAAAUGGUACCGUAACUUCGGGAGAAGGUACGCUCUUGAUGGUGAAGUCCCUUGCGGAUGGAGCUGACGAGAGUCGCAGAUACCAGGUGGCUGCAACUGUUUAUUAAAAACACAGCACUGUGCAAAAUCGUAAGAUGACGUAUACGGUGUGACGCCUGCCCGGUGCCGGAAGGUUAAUUGAUGGGGUUAGACUUCGGUCGAAGCUCUUGAUCGAAGCCCCGGUAAACGGCGGCCGUAACUAUAACGGUCCUAAGGUAGCGAAAUUCCUUGUCGGGUAAGUUCCGACCUGCACGAAUGGCGUAAUGAUGGCCACGCUGUCUCCACCCGAGACUCAGUGAAAUUGAAAUCGCUGUGAAGAUGCAGUGUACCCGCGGCUAGACGGAAAGACCCCGUGAACCUUUACUACAGCUUGGCACUGAACAUUGACCCUACAUGUGUAGGAUAGGUGGGAGGCUUUGAAGCACGUACGCCAGUAUGUGUGGAGCCGUCCUUGAAAUACCACCCUUGUAGUGUUGAUGUUCUAACGUCGACCCCUAAUCGGGGUUACGGACAGUGCCUGGUGGGUAGUUUGACUGGGGCGGUCUCCUCCCAAAGAGUAACGGAGGAGCACGAAGGUGGGCUAAUCACGGUUGGACAUCGUGAGGUUAGUGCAAUGGCAUAAGCCCGCUUGACUGCGAGAAUGACAAUUCGAGCAGGUGCGAAAGCAGGUCAUAGUGAUCCGGUGGUUCUGAAUGGAAGGGCCAUCGCUCAACGGAUAAAAGGUACUCCGGGGAUAACAGGCUGAUACCGCCCAAGAGUUCAUAUCGACGGCGGUGUUUGGCACCUCGAUGUCGGCUCAUCACAUCCUGGGGCUGAAGUCGGUCCCAAGGGUAUGGCUGUUCGCCAUUUAAAGUGGUACGCGAGCUGGGUUUAGAACGUCGUGAGACAGUUCGGUCCCUAUCUGCCGUGGGCGUUGGAAGAUUGAAGGGGGCUGCUCCUAGUACGAGAGGACCGGAGUGGACGAACCUCUGGUGUUCGGGUUGUGUCGCCAGACGCAUUGCCCGGUAGCUAAGUUCGGAAUCGAUAACCGCUGAAAGCAUCUAAGCGGGAAGCGAGCCCUGAGAUGAGUCUUCCCUGAUACUUUAAGUAUCCUAAAGGGUUGUCGGAGACUACGACGUUGAUAGGUCAGGUGUGUAAGUGCUGUGAGGCAUUGAGCUAACUGAUACUAAUUGCCCGUGAGGCUUAACCAUACAACACCCAAGGGGUUU
Molecule: ribosomal RNA, 2915 nt
Filed under: Vibrio parahaemolyticus
Lineage: Bacteria; Pseudomonadati; Pseudomonadota; Gammaproteobacteria; Vibrionales; Vibrionaceae
Description: bacterial LSU rRNA
Rfam family: Bacterial large subunit ribosomal RNA
Source: RNAcentral